AGUGCUUUCAGGAACAUCAAGACGAUAGCUGAGUGCCUUGCAGAUGAACUCAUCAAUGCUGCCAAGGGUUCUUCAAAUAGCUAUGCCAUUAAGAAGAAGGAUGAGAUUGAAAGAGUUGCCAAGGCCAAUCGUUGAGAGAGGUUGACAUUGGAACAGAAUUUACAGAUUUUGAUUGUAUACUUGAUUUGUUCACCUUUCUUUCCAACUCAGUUUCUUUUGAUAUGUACGACUAUUGCUUACUCCUGUGAAUGAUUUUUGUUUCUGCAGCUAUGCCAUUAAGAAGAAGGAUGAGAUUGAAAGAGUUGCCAAGGCCAAUCGUUGAGAGGUUGACAUUGUAACAGAAUUUACAAGGUAGUUUUGGGUUAUGCUAUUUUCUCAUUUCUGUUUUCUUUUAGCACUAUAGUCUCAUGGAAAUGAAAGUGGAUCUGAGUAGCAAGGUUGACAUUGGAACAGAAUUUACAAAGCAGUUUUGGGUUAUGCUGUUUUCUCAUUUCUGUUUUCGUUAGCACUAUAGUCUCAUGGAAAUGAAAGUGGAUCUGAGUAGCACCACAGCUAUUGCAUGUGGAUUUUAAUAUCUUAAAGAGUAUUUUGCUUGUUGAAACUUUAUAUGCUUGGUAUUGUUAUAGAUGUUACAAUUUGAAUUCCUUGGGGAUCUGAUUAGCAGCACCUACUAUUUCUUGUGGAUUUUAAUUUCUCAGUAUUCUCUUCUUUUAGGUAAACAGUGAAGACAUGUCCAGUAGCAUGUGCAUUUUAAUUUGGUGAUAACUAUCCUCAAUAACCAUUUGGUCAUUUCUUAA
RNAcentral lists this long non-coding RNA (797 nucleotides) under Nicotiana benthamiana. RNAcentral describes it as "long non-coding RNA (NBEN_LNC028311)". The record is from RNAcentral. Lineage: Eukaryota; Viridiplantae; Streptophyta; Magnoliopsida; Solanales; Solanaceae.